Long non-coding RNA from Trichoplusia ni (cabbage looper), 598 nucleotides. RefSeq lists it as uncharacterized. The record is from RefSeq and is a predicted model, not a curated record. NCBI's taxonomy places the organism in Eukaryota, Metazoa, Arthropoda, Insecta, Lepidoptera, Noctuidae. The transcript is spliced from 2 exons.
GGACGUUUCGUCUGAUUGCGGGCUAAUCAAAUAUUAUUGCUUGAUAUUGUUUUCUUCAUUUGUUGUAUUUAUUGUAGAUAUAGCUUUUACAAUAGAGUCUUUGACUAAAUAUAUUAUAACAGUGUUGUGUGUUAUAAUAAUAAUAUAGGGUAAAGUACCUUUAGUCGUACCAGCGCUUAAGUCGUACCACGUCGAUAUCUGCGCACCCGUCAUGAAAAGAUGGCAUCUAACAGUGCAAUAUGGUUCUACUAAGUACCACGGGUAAACAGCAACACGCGGCGGCUUGCCGGAAUUCGCGAUCAAAAAAAAAUGAAAAAGUGAUCAAUAUGGCAAAGAAAAUUUAUAACUCUUGGAAGCAAGAUGACAUAGAUGAACACAAAAAGGAACACAAUUCACAAAUAAAAAAAGAAAGAUAGACAGAAAAUCUAACAAAGAUAAGAAACUAGAUGCUAAAGAAAAUUGGUUGUGCAAACUAACAACACUAAACAAGAUCGCAAAGAAAAUAUGACCCUAUGUAUUAAAUGCAAAGGAUGGGUACAUGAUUUAUGUGCAGAUCUCGAAAUUAAAACUAAAAAUUACAUUUGUGAUAUAUGCAUUU